AGUGGCGGACGGGUGAGUAACGCGUGGUAACCUGCUCAUACAGGGGAGUAACAGUUAGAAAUGACUGCUAAUACCGCAUAAGACCACAGCACCGCAUGGUGCAGGGUAAAAACUCCGGUGGUAUGAGAUGGACCCGCGUCUGAUUAGGUAGUUGGUGGGGUAACGGCCUACCGAGCCGACGAUCAGUAGCCGACCUGAGAGGGUGACCGGCCACAUUGGGACUGAGACACGGCCCAA
Molecule: ribosomal RNA, 237 nt
Filed under: uncultured bacterium
Lineage: Bacteria
Description: partial 16S ribosomal RNA
Rfam family: Bacterial small subunit ribosomal RNA
Source: RNAcentral